This is a long non-coding RNA of Lycium barbarum (goji berry), 2792 nucleotides long. RefSeq lists it as uncharacterized. The transcript has 2 exons. NCBI's taxonomy places the organism in Eukaryota, Viridiplantae, Streptophyta, Magnoliopsida, Solanales, Solanaceae. The record is from RefSeq and is a predicted model, not a curated record.
GGAUUUUUUUUUUAUAGAAUAGUUUACCAUAUUAUCUUUUAUCGUUCUACCAAAUUUCAUAAUUUUUGCAAUUAAUUUAGUGUUAAAGUGGCUUGACAGUGCAAAAUAUGCACACAGAAAUUGCUUGCUUACAGUUGGCUAUAAGAAGCUAGCACCUUAUUUUUUGGUUUAGAUAGGGUGUCUUAGUAUUUGGUCCAGAUAAAUGUCUAUGUAAGCCUAAGGUAAAUGUUUACUAUGUUUCUACUAAAGCCUUAGAAUAUUUAAGACCACUCCCAGACCCUUGUUACCACAAGAUACUGCCCUGAGCUUAAAAACUAAAGUCCCUUGCCAGUUUAUUUUCGCACUCCCAGUUCCCCCAACCCCUCGCCCACUGCACACGCCGCUUCUCACACCAUCGGCUACCAGUUGCAAGUUCUCAGGUACUUGUUAAAAAAAAAAAAAAAAAAAGACUUCUAGUUCAUCAGAAGCAUUUCUAGGAGGAACAAAUCAAGUCAUGGAGGAAGAGAUUUUUGAUGUAGCAUAGCUGCUAGCUCAGUGACACCAUUUUUUCAGGGAGUUCCUCCUAACUUUUGCUUUAAUUAUAUAGUAACAUUGAGGACAAUGCAAUAUUUUAAGUUGGGGAGACUUUAUUUUGAUAGAUAUUUUUGUGAUGGGGUGUGAUAUGUCAUGAUGGAUGAUAAUUUGGUAGAUUGAUUUUAUUUUGGUAAUUUUUUUUUUAUGACAUUUAUAUUAGUAUGAUUUUUUUUUACUAGCUUCUUUAGUUUUUUUUCGUAGUUUAGUUGUAGGAAUGGUGUUGGGAUGUGAUUUUUGCUCCUUGGCCAAUUUUGGCUUGCUUGAUACCAACUUAGUUAAACCUUAGCAUAUGAAUUCUUGAUUUAAAAAAAAUAAAAAUAAAAAAUUGAAGUAAUGAUUCUUGUUGUGAAUUUUAGACUCAAUUUUUGGCUCUUACUUUCACUAAUUAGUCUCUUUAGGCUAGAAGUGAUUUUCUUUGAGUUCAUUUGUUUCAAUUGGGUUUUGGAUAGAUAUUCUACUUGGAUUAUCAUGUGCCAUGUGUGGUGAGUUUUUUGUGAGUUCUUUUACAUUACUUGUGGUCUAGAACUUGCCCGGAAUGUGUUUCAAGGCGAAAUUCUAGGUUACACUUGGUUUGACAAAUGAUGUUAGGCCUUCUUUGGAUCGUUUUUGCCUUAAAUUUCCUACCCUUGCAUAUUUUCCCUAGUCAACCCCUUUUGAGCCUUUAACCUUUUCUUUGGCAAUCAUAUUACAAGCUUUAACCUUUUGUUCUUCAUUGAUCCAUCUUUUGGUACCCUACCUCCUUAAGUGCGUUGAAAGUGCAAACGUAGGCUAAAAGUCUAAGUUUGGGGGUGAUAGUUGGAAAAAGUUGUGAUAUGGGAGUUACUUUAAGGUGAAAGAAAAAAAAUGAAGUAAAAAAAAUAAAAAAAAAUUUGGAAACUUCCUUGUUAUUUUGAAAAAGAAAAAAAAAAGGAAGGAAUAAUGAAGAGUUGUGAAUAAAGGGAAGACUAGUUGGUGAAAUGGAAAAUGAAGAAAAGGGUGGAAAAAUUUCAAAGGAAGUGUGCUUUGAUUGUUGAAAAUUGUAGUGCUUAGGGAGGUUUUUGAGUCACUAUUUCCAAAUUAUGUUCCUACCUUAACCAAAAGCCUACAUUACAACCCUUUAAGUCCUAAUUGAUUUUGAACCAAGUGUGUCUAUAUUAGUGGAGAAAUACAUGAAGGGCAAGCUUAUGGUACUACUUGUGCAAUUGAACAUCUUUGUGAGAGAAGAGAGUUAAUUCUUUCUAUUUAAUAUCCCAUUUAUGUUUUGAAUUACAUUUUCUAAGUGUGGGAUUCUCUCUUGAGUGUGAGGGCACAUGAGAAUUUAAGUUGUGAAAUUGUUCCAUUUUCCAAUUGAGAGGAAUGAACAAAAGAAAGUUGUUUUGUGAUAAGGAGACAAAUUUUGAAGCUUUAGUGCCAUGACUUGAUUGCUACUUUGAUCAACUUGGUGUUUGAGCACUUGAAAAGAAAAUGAAGUUUUUAAGAAGAAGUUGAUGAUUCAUGUGUUUUGAAUUAAUUGUUGGUACCAAUCAAAGUCAUGUUUUUGUGCUUAAAGUAGACUUUUUAACUUGGUAUGAUGUUGGUGCACUAUUGAGUCAAUUCCUUAGAAAGAAAUUUUAUGUUUUGAAUUGCUUGAGGACAAGCAAUAGUUUAAGUUUGGGGGUUUGAUAAGUUGGUAUUUUACCAACUUAUCUCUUCUUUAAUCUUAUAUUUUUGCUAUAUUUGCUUGAGAAAAUAGUGUAUUUAAUAUCAUUUACAUCUAUUUUACAGGUUUUAUUUGAUUUAGAAGUGAUCGGAAGAAACCAAGUGAAAAUUAAGUCAAAAAGAGGCCAAAUGGGACAGUUUUGCAAAACUGUCCAAACUGGACAGUUUUGCAAAAACGGGCCAGAUCUGCAAUUCCGAAAUUCAGUGGGUAUUUGUCAUUCUUUGAACUUGAAAGAAUUAGGUUACUAUAAGAUGAUAACUUGGGAGAAAAUAUCAUCAUCUUUGGCUCAACACAAGUCCUUGGAGGCUAGGGUUUCACACCAACACAUUGGAGGAGAAGAUUGGAAGCACUUUAAUGAGAUAUUCUUAAUCCUUUCUUCAAUUUCUUGUUUGGUAUUGAAUAUUUAUGUGUGUAGUAUUUCAUUUCAAUACUUGAACCUUGUUUAUGGAAGUAUAUAUUGUUUAAGUUUGGAUUGAAUCUCUUGUUUUGCUUUUGUGUUGAAUGAUUUUAUUCCUAAUGAAGUGAGUUAUUGUUUCUUUAA